This 402-nucleotide unclassified non-coding RNA is filed under the name soil metagenome. RNAcentral describes it as "partial contains 5.8S ribosomal RNA, internal transcribed spacer 2, and large subunit ribosomal RNA". The stretch from base 1 to 121 matches the Rfam family "5.8S ribosomal RNA", at positions 35 to 154 of the family's 154-position model. The record is from RNAcentral.
GAUGAAGAACGCAGCGAAAUGCGAUAAGUAAUGUGAAUCGCAGAAUUCAGUGAAUCAUCGAAUCUUUGAACGCACCUUGCGCCCUUUGGCUAUUCUGAAGGGCAUGCCUGUUUGAGUAUCGUGAACACCUCAACUCUCAUGGUCUGCCAUGAUGAGCUUGGACUUUGGGGGUCUUGCUGGCCUACUGUCAGCUCCUCUCAAAUGAAUCAGCUUACCAGUGUUUGGUGGCACCACAGGUGUGAUAACUAUCUACGCUUGUGGUUUUCUGCCAGGUAACCUCCAGUGAUGGAGGUUCGCUGGAGCUCACAAAUGUCUCUCCUCAGCGAGGACAGCUUUUUGAACGUUUGAUCUCAAAUCAGGUAGGACUACCCGCUGAACUUAAGCAUAUCAAUAAGCGGAGGA